Molecule: long non-coding RNA, 699 nt
Organism: Apis dorsata (giant honeybee)
Lineage: Eukaryota; Metazoa; Arthropoda; Insecta; Hymenoptera; Apidae
Exons: 2
Source: RefSeq, a predicted model, not a curated record
UGGCGCACAAGCUUGAAGUGUCUCUGUUUGUUAUAGUCUUUUUUUUAAAAAUUUUUGGUGAAGUUCAAGUAUAAUCCAUAAAAAGUGUUUCUAUUAGUUAUUUUAAUAUCUCGUUUUCAAUAAUCAUUUAUUUUUCGAUUUUAUAUUUUAAUAAAAUAUUAUAUAUUUUAAAUUCUUACAUUCAAAUUUCACGAAGAUAGAAAAAGAGAUAGAUAGCAUCGCGAAAAUGAUUAGCAUCAGAAAAUAGCUCAAUAAAAUAAGAGACAAACUUUGAAAGUUAAUUGCGUCGUAUGUGUUCCGAAAAACCGCGGUCUUCGUUGGCAAUGGCACCCGUUCACAGCUGUGUCGGCGUCGCGCGCAUCUCAUUUGACUCGUUCCGCGACAGCAGAAAUCAAGAUGGCGCUCCUCUGUUUGCGGAUAGUUCUGCGACGAAUAUAAAUACGUGAAAAAAACAGUGCGAGAAACGGUUACAACGUAUUGAACAGAUUGUGACGAUUGGUAUAUGCGUAUGAUAUAGUGACAAUCGAUUGGUAACGUGUCGCGAUAACUGUAAAGCAAGGUAGCCGGGUAAGCCGCUGCGGUAUUUCGAACAUCGGCGAAGGUGCUGUCGGUGCCCACCUGAGGAAUGCCAGAUUAUCCUCACUACGGUAACUCGCUCGGCAGGGGGAUGCUAAUCGCGUGACGGAUCGCGUGCAAGUU